Temnothorax curvispinosus is the source of this 432-nucleotide long non-coding RNA. RefSeq lists it as uncharacterized. NCBI's taxonomy places the organism in Eukaryota, Metazoa, Arthropoda, Insecta, Hymenoptera, Formicidae. The record is from RefSeq and is a predicted model, not a curated record. The transcript has 3 exons.
GCGCGAACUUUAGCGAACUUUCGUUUAUUUACUUGUCACACGAUGUACUUUCGAUAUUUCAUAGUUAGAGCUGGUUAUCUCGUCGUUGCCGGUUACUCGCAUUUUAGAAGGCUUUUGGCAGUUGAGUUGCAGGCCUAUAAUGUAUUGGUGUCUGUCUGAAAAACAAUUAGUACGCCUUUGAACUUCGGUAUAUAAGCAUACGUUGGUCGGCGCUCCGCGUUAUGUCGUGCGUCGUUAUCCUCUUACGAAAUGCAUUCUCUAUUGUUACGGAUUCAUGCAUCGGUUUUUUAUGACUAUUUCGAGUAAAAUCCUCGUAAAUACAGGAGUGUCGGUUCGUGACAAAGUUUAAUUUACCAGAUGCUUGAAAAGGGCCCAAUCCGAAGGGCCGAAACGUCGUAACGUUUCUUGUACAUAUUUUGACAAUUGUAGUCG